RNAcentral lists this ribosomal RNA (253 nucleotides) under uncultured bacterium. Its description in RNAcentral is "partial 16S ribosomal RNA". It matches the Rfam family "Bacterial small subunit ribosomal RNA", at positions 524 to 776 of the family's 1533-position model. The record is from RNAcentral.
UACGUAGGGGGCAAGCGUUGUCCGGAUUUAUUGGGCGUAAAGCGCGUGUAGGCGGCUAGACAGGUCCGCUGUGAAAACUCGAGGCUCAACCUCGAGAUGUCGGUGGAAACCGUUUAGCUAGAGUCCGGAAGAGGUGAGUGGAAUUCCUAGUGUAGAGGUGAAAUUCGUAGAUAUUAGGAAGAACACCAGUGGCGAAGGCGGCUCACUGGUCCGGUACUGACGCUGAGGUGCGAAAGCGUGGGGAGCAAACAGG